RNAcentral lists this ribosomal RNA (857 nucleotides) under uncultured archaeon. Its description in RNAcentral is "bacterial SSU rRNA". It matches the Rfam family "Archaeal small subunit ribosomal RNA", at positions 1 to 865 of the family's 1478-position model. The record is from RNAcentral.
UCCGGUUGAUCCCGCCGGAGGUUACUGCUAUCGGGGUCCGAUUAAGCCAUGCGAGUUGAGAGGGGUAAGCCCUCGGCAUACUGCUCAGUAACACGCGGAUAACCUGCCCUUGGGUUCGGGAUAACCCCGGGAAACUGGGACUAAUACCGGAUAGAUCAAAGAAACUGGAAUGUUCUCUGGUCUGAAACUCUGGUGCCCAAGGAUGGGUCUGCGGCCUAUCAGGUAGUAGUGGGUGUAACGUACCUACUAGCCUACGACGGGUAAGGGUUGUGAGAGCAAGAGCCCUGAGAUGGAUUCUGAGACAUGAAUCCAGGCCCUACGGGGUGCAGCAGGCGCGAAAACUUUACACUGCGGGAAACCGCGAUAAGGGGACCCCGAGUGCCAGCACCUAGUGCUGGCUGUCCAGCUGUCCAAAUAACAGUUGUUAGCAAGGGCCGGGCAAGACCGGUGCCAGCCGCCGCGGUAACACCGGCGGCCCGAGUGGUAGCCGUUAUUAUUGGGUUUAAAGGGUCCGUAGCCGGCCUAUUAAGUCUCUUGGGAAAUCUGGCGACUCAAUCGUCAGGCGUCCAAAAGAUACUGGUAGGCUUGGGACCGGGAGAGGUGGGAGGUACUCCAGGGGUAGGGGUGAAAUCUCGUAAUCCUUGGGGGACCACCGAUGGCGAAGGCAUCCACCAGAACGGGUCCGACGGUGAGGGACGAAAGCUGGGGGCACGAACCGGAUUAGAUACCCGGGUAGUCCCAGCCGUAAACGAUGCUCGCUAGGUGUCAGGUGCGGUGCGACCGCAUCUGGUGCCGCAGUGAAAACUUGAAGCGAGUCACCUGGGAAGUACGGUCGCAAGGCUGAAACUUAAAGGAAU